UCCAGACUCCUACGGGAGGCAGCAGUGGGGGAUAUUGCACAAUGGGGGAAACCCUGAUGCAGCGACGCCGCGUGUGGGAAGACGGUCCUCUGGAUUGUAAACCACUGUCCCCAGGGACGAAAAUGACGGUACCUGGGGAGGAAGCUCCGGCUAACUACGUGCCAGCAGCCGCGGUAAUACGUAGGGAGCGAGCGUUGUCCGGAAUUACUGGGUGUAAAGGGAGCGUAGGCGGGAGGAUAAGUUGAAUGUGAAAUCUAUGGGCUCAACCCAUAGCUGCGUUCAAAACUGUUCUUCUUGAGUGAAGUAGAGGCAGGCGGAAUUCCUAGUGUAGCGGUGAAAUGCGUAGAUAUUAGGGGGAACACCAGUGGCGAAGGCGGCCUGCUGGGCUUUUACUGACGCUGAGGCUCGAAAGCGUGGGUAGCAAACAGGAUUAGAUACCCUCGUACC
Molecule: ribosomal RNA, 447 nt
Filed under: uncultured bacterium
Lineage: Bacteria
Description: bacterial SSU rRNA
Rfam family: Bacterial small subunit ribosomal RNA
Source: RNAcentral